AAGUCGUAACAAGGUUUCCGUAGGUGAACCUGCGGAAGGAUCAUUACCAAAUCCAAAUACCCAAACCCCAUGUGAACUAUUGUAUAGUCUGUCUUUGGGAGAAAAGCAUCCAAGAAAAAUUAGCUUUUAUUAGCUCUUUUUUCUUGGAUUUUUCUCCCAAUAGAGUCCGGCGCAACUUUAUUGUUGUGUCCAGAUUCGAAACCCUAAACCACUUGAUUUUUCUGUUGGAAUUUUCUUUUUAUAAUUUUAAAUAAAAGACAACUUUUAACGGCGGAUCUCUUGGCUCGU
This 288-nucleotide unclassified non-coding RNA is filed under the name fungal sp. RNAcentral describes it as "partial internal transcribed spacer region". The stretch from base 1 to 46 matches the Rfam family "Eukaryotic small subunit ribosomal RNA", at positions 1786 to 1831 of the family's 1831-position model. RNAcentral also lists the same sequence under 1 other name. The record is from RNAcentral. Lineage: Eukaryota; Fungi.